CAAUUGAACUGAACAUUAAGCAUGCCAGAUAGGAAUAAAGUUUUGGUCAGUGCUGGAGUAAUAUGGGGUAUUACUCUUUGCUGUAUCUUCAUUAAUCGCAAACUUCCAGGGUCCAUGGCAUUAUUAAAUUUUUUCCCUGGCAUUUUUGUUUGG
Molecule: long non-coding RNA, 153 nt
Organism: Ceratina calcarata
Lineage: Eukaryota; Metazoa; Arthropoda; Insecta; Hymenoptera; Apidae
Exons: 2
Source: RefSeq, a predicted model, not a curated record